This 1554-nucleotide ribosomal RNA is filed under the name Salmonella enterica. RNAcentral describes it as "bacterial SSU rRNA". It matches the Rfam family "Bacterial small subunit ribosomal RNA". The record is from RNAcentral. Lineage: Bacteria; Pseudomonadati; Pseudomonadota; Gammaproteobacteria; Enterobacterales; Enterobacteriaceae.
AAAUUGAAGAGUUUGAUCAUGGCUCAGAUUGAACGCUGGCGGCAGGCCUAACACAUGCAAGUCGAACGGUAACAGGAAGCAGCUUGCUGCUUUGCUGACGAGUGGCGGACGGGUGAGUAAUGUCUGGGAAACUGCCUGAUGGAGGGGGAUAACUACUGGAAACGGUGGCUAAUACCGCAUAAUGUCGCAAGACCAAAGAGGGGGACCUUCGGGCCUCUUGCCAUCAGAUGUGCCCAGAUGGGAUUAGCUUGUUGGUGAGGUAACGGCUCACCAAGGCGACGAUCCCUAGCUGGUCUGAGAGGAUGACCAGCCACACUGGAACUGAGACACGGUCCAGACUCCUACGGGAGGCAGCAGUGGGGAAUAUUGCACAAUGGGCGCAAGCCUGAUGCAGCCAUGCCGCGUGUAUGAAGAAGGCCUUCGGGUUGUAAAGUACUUUCAGCGGGGAGGAAGGUGUUGUGGUUAAUAACCGCAGCAAUUGACGUUACCCGCAGAAGAAGCACCGGCUAACUCCGUGCCAGCAGCCGCGGUAAUACGGAGGGUGCAAGCGUUAAUCGGAAUUACUGGGCGUAAAGCGCACGCAGGCGGUCUGUCAAGUCGGAUGUGAAAUCCCCGGGCUCAACCUGGGAACUGCAUUCGAAACUGGCAGGCUUGAGUCUUGUAGAGGGGGGUAGAAUUCCAGGUGUAGCGGUGAAAUGCGUAGAGAUCUGGAGGAAUACCGGUGGCGAAGGCGGCCCCCUGGACAAAGACUGACGCUCAGGUGCGAAAGCGUGGGGAGCAAACAGGAUUAGAUACCCUGGUAGUCCACGCCGUAAACGAUGUCUACUUGGAGGUUGUGCCCUUGAGGCGUGGCUUCCGGAGCUAACGCGUUAAGUAGACCGCCUGGGGAGUACGGCCGCAAGGUUAAAACUCAAAUGAAUUGACGGGGGCCCGCACAAGCGGUGGAGCAUGUGGUUUAAUUCGAUGCAACGCGAAGAACCUUACCUGGUCUUGACAUCCACAGAACAUUCCAGAGAUGGAUUGGUGCCUUCGGGAACUGUGAGACAGGUGCUGCAUGGCUGUCGUCAGCUCGUGUUGUGAAAUGUUGGGUUAAGUCCCGCAACGAGCGCAACCCUUAUCCUUUGUUGCCAGCGGUCCGGCCGGGAACUCAAAGGAGACUGCCAGUGAUAAACUGGAGGAAGGUGGGGAUGACGUCAAGUCAUCAUGGCCCUUACGACCAGGGCUACACACGUGCUACAAUGGCGCAUACAAAGAGAAGCGACCUCGCGAGAGCAAGCGGACCUCAUAAAGUGCGUCGUAGUCCGGAUUGGAGUCUGCAACUCGACUCCAUGAAGUCGGAAUCGCUAGUAAUCGUGGAUCAGAAUGCCACGGUGAAUACGUUCCCGGGCCUUGUACACACCGCCCGUCACACCAUGGGAGUGGGUUGCAAAAGAAGUAGGUAGCUUAACCUUCGGGAGGGCGCUUACCACUUUGUGAUUCAUGACUGGGGUGAAGUCGUAACAAGGUAACCGUAGGGGAACCUGCGGUUGGAUCACCUCCUUACCUGAAAGAAGC